CAAGGCUUGACAUCCACUUAAACGCAUGGAAACAUGCGGUCUCUUCGGAGGAAGUGAGACAGGUGGUGCAUGGUUGUCGUCAGCUCGUGUCGUGAGAUGUUGGGUUAAGUCCCGCAACGAGCGCAACCCCUAUUGCCAGUUACCAGCGGGUUAUGCCGGGGACUCUGGUGAGACUGCCGGGGACAACUCGGAGGAAGGUGGGGAUGACGUCAAAUCAUCAUGCCCCUUAUGUCUUGGGCUACACACGUGCUACAAUGGCUGAAACAAGGGGAUGCGACAACGUAAGUUGAAGCGGAUCUCACAAAAACAGUCCCAGUUCGGAUUGUGGGCUGCAACCCGCCCACAUGAAGUCGGAGUUGCUAGUAAUCGCGGAUCAGCAUGCCGCGGUGAAUACGUUCCC
This 400-nucleotide ribosomal RNA is filed under the name uncultured bacterium. RNAcentral's name for it is "bacterial SSU rRNA". It matches the Rfam family "Bacterial small subunit ribosomal RNA", at positions 975 to 1375 of the family's 1533-position model. The record is from RNAcentral.